Molecule: non-coding RNA, 2226 nt
Organism: Microcebus murinus (gray mouse lemur)
Lineage: Eukaryota; Metazoa; Chordata; Mammalia; Primates; Cheirogaleidae
Source: RefSeq, a predicted model, not a curated record
UAUUAGUCAGCUAGGAUUAUUACAAUAAGAUACCACAUACUGGGUGGCCUAAGCAAUGAAAAUUUAUUUUCUCUUAGCUCUCGAAGGGCAGAAAUCCAAGAGCAAGGUGCCAGCAGGGUUGGUGUCUGGUGAGGCCUUUCUCCUGGCUUAAAGACAGCUGCUUUCUCACCAUGUCCUCACAUGGCCUUUCCUCUGUGUGCUCAUAAUGGGAAGGGGCAACAGAUAUUUCUCUGGUGUCCCUUCCUUUUCUUAUAAGGACACUAGUCCUAUUGAAUUAAAGCCCAACCUUAUGACCUCAUGAACCUUUAUUAUUCCCUAUACACCUUGUGACCACAUACAAUCACACUGAAGGCUAGGACUUCAAAAUGUGAACGUUGGGAGGUCACAAUUCAAUCCACAACAGCUAAUAUAUAAAAUACAAUUAAUUUUUAUAUACAGUCAUCCCCCAUCUGGGGUUUUGCUUUCCUCAGUUUCAGUUAUCUACAGCCAACUGUGGUCUGAAAAUAGGUUUAGGUCAUUGGCUGGGUUCUGGCCAAGACACUGUGGGCAGAAGUGACAUUUGCCACUUUCCAGCCUGGCGCUGAAGCACCUGGGGCAAUCCUCCAUGGGUUCUUUCUGGCCCACUUUCUGAGUGCACAGAACCCACCAGAGGAUCCAAGGAGGCCCUGGGUUUGGUGGGGCCAUGAGAUGGAAGGAGCAUUUAUCCAGUCACUCUUGGAGAAAAGCUACCGACUUGAGUUGGACUGUGAGGUAUGGCCAUUUUACCUUCUCUGACCAGUGAAUGUGAACACAAGUGAUGCAUGUGUUGCUUUUCGGCUGGACUAUCUGCUAAUACUAGACCUUUGAGAACUCUCUUUUCCCUCUGCCACAGCAACGUCAAGUUUCUCAUUCAGCCUGGAUAGUGAAUACAUACAAAGAGGACACAACGGGGAGUCUCCAACCAACCCAUAUUGCACCUGCAGCAUGAAUGAGAAGAAAACAAAAUAGAACAACAACAACAAAAAAUCCCUCACCUUUCUUGUUUUAUUCAAUGAGAGUUUAAAGUUCUUUGAUAUGGAAUCAUAACACAAAAAUCCUGGGUGAUACAACUGUGUAUAUUAAACUUGUUUCAUUAGAGAGCAUUGUUAAGUGUGAGGAACAUGUAGGAAGAGUCUCUCUUCCUCUCCAAAACCCCCACCCAGAUAAAUGAGAGUUGUGAAGCUGGAAGGAAGAUCAGAUAAUUGUUUUUUGACCCAUAGCUGUGUUAGUCUCAGAUGAAGGGAGAAUGGAGAGAAGAUCAGUUAGGCCUCAACCUGAAAGAAAUGAAAACACUAGGAAGGGACAUUCAGCAAGUUAGUGGCAUCAGGCCUAGUCUACUGGGCUGCAAAAUCACUAACUUGUUUGGAUGACCUGGAAUUAGAUUGUUUCUGGACACUAAAGCUAAAAGAAACUGAAACAGGGUUUCAACAGCUAUAAUGACAGGAAAUCUCCCCAGUAGUUAUUGGUGGAGACGUCUUUUUAUAACAAAAAUCCAGACUGUUCCAUGUAAGCGCAACGCUGGGGAAGCAAGCUCUUAGUGCUCAUCCCCCUUCUCCACUAUAAAUGCUAGUGAGUUAGUUUACGAAUGGAAUAAAAUAAUGUAUUAAAUUAGUUAGAAAUACUUUUUUGUGUAAAGCAAUUGAUUUCAACAAAGAGUAAGAAAGUUUUAUGGAUUUGUGGGUAAAGUUGUUUGAGGUCCUAGAUUCCUGUAUUAUAAAUGAAUACAGCUCCCACAGAAAUCAAGACACUCUGAUUUGGGGUUUACUCCACAGUCUGAUAUUAACUAGCUUGAACAACUUGUUUCAAUAUUUCAUAUUUCUUGGCUUCAUCUGCCUGGUGAGAAUAAUAAUAGCUUAUCUACCUGAAGGAAGGGGCUGGAGCACAUUAUCUCUUAAAGUCCCUUCCAGCCCUAACCUUUUUUUUUUUUUUUAUGAAAUAAAUAUUUUGUCAUUAUUAUGUCUAUCAAUUUGCCUACUGGUAGUGUUGAUAAAAGCCAUGUGAAUUUUGGGAGAAUGAAAAGGUGGAGAUGUAGAAAAGGGAAGAGAAGAAAGCAGAGUAGAAGAAGGAAAAGGAGAGAUGAGGUCAUGAAGAGAUGAAGCAAUGAGUGGGACAAGGAGAGGAAUUGGCACUCACCUUUGUUUUGUCUGUCAUUUGAGAUGUUUUCAGUUACAAACCAAAACAAACAAUAGUAAAAAUGCAGAUAAUAAA